AACGCGAAGAACCUUACCAACUCUUGACAUCCCAGUGACCGUUCUAGAGAUAGAACUUUCCCUUCGGGGACAAUGGUGACAGGUGGUGCAUGGUUGUCGUCAGCUCGUGUCGUGAGAUGUUGGGUUAAGUCCCGCAACGAGCGCAACCCUUGUCCUUAGUUGCCAGCACGUAAAGGUGGGGACUUUAAGGAGACUGCCGGUGAUAAACCGGAGGAAGGUGGGGAUGACGUCAAAUCAUCAUGCCCCUUAUGAGUUGGGCUACGCACGUACUACAAUGGCUGGUACAAAGAGAAGCGAACCUGCGAGGGUAAGCGGACCUCAUAAAGCCAGUCUAAGUUCGGAUCGCAGUCUGCAACUCGACCGCGUGAAGUCGGAUUCGCUAGUAAUCGCAGAUCAGAAUGCUGCGGUGAAUACGUUCCCGGGUCUUGUACACACCG
This 437-nucleotide ribosomal RNA is filed under the name uncultured bacterium. Its description in RNAcentral is "bacterial SSU rRNA". It matches the Rfam family "Bacterial small subunit ribosomal RNA", at positions 958 to 1392 of the family's 1533-position model. The record is from RNAcentral.